Molecule: ribosomal RNA, 644 nt
Filed under: uncultured bacterium
Lineage: Bacteria
Description: bacterial SSU rRNA
Rfam family: Bacterial small subunit ribosomal RNA
Source: RNAcentral
CGCGGCCUAUCAGCUUGUUGGUGGGGUGAUGGCCUACCAAGGCGACGACGGGUAGCCGGCCUGAGAGGGUGUCCGGCCACACUGGGACUGAGAUACGGCCCAGACUCCUACGGGAGGCAGCAGUGGGGAAUGUUGCACAAUGGGCGCAAGCCUGAUGCAGCGACGCCGCGUGGGGGAUGACGGCCUUCGGGUUGUAAAUCUCUUUCACCAUCGGCGAAGCCGGGAGCUUUUGUUUCUGGUGACGGUAGGUGGAGAAGAAGCACCGGCCAACUACGUGCCAGCAGCCGCGGUAAUACGUAGGGUGCGAGCGUUGUCCGGAAUUACUGGGCGUAAAGAGCUCGUAGGUGGUUUGUCGCGUUGUCCGUGAAAUUCCCUGGCUUAACUGGGGGCGUGCGGGCGAUACGGGCGGACUGGAGUACUGCAGGGGAGACUGGAAUUCCUGGUGUAGCGGUGGAAUGCGCAGAUAUCAGGAGGAACACCGGUGGCGAAGGCGGGUCUCUGGGCAGUAACUGACGCUGAGGAGCGAAAGCGUGGGGAGCGAACAGGAUUAGAUACCCUGGUAGUCCACGCCGUAAACGGUGGGUACCAGGUGUGGGUUUCCUUCCUUGGGAUCCGUGCCGUAGCUAACGCAUUAAGUACCCCGC